This 756-nucleotide ribosomal RNA is filed under the name Cryptes baccatus. Its description in RNAcentral is "partial 28S ribosomal RNA". It matches the Rfam family "Eukaryotic large subunit ribosomal RNA", at positions 462 to 897 of the family's 3401-position model. Lineage: Eukaryota; Metazoa; Arthropoda; Insecta; Hemiptera; Coccidae. The record is from RNAcentral.
UCCGGGCGCGCGGAAUUCAGAACCGACGAGCAUACUUCGUCGAUUCGAUAUUUCCGCCGCCGACCCGUAGAACCGGGUGCGGACGUCGCGACCCGUUCGUCGUCGAUCUGACGAGUCGCGUUUCGAGUUCGAGGCGCGCGCGUUUCGUUCGCGUGCGCGCGCGUCGCGAUGGCGCGAUACUCGGAUCGGCGUGCGCGGACGGUAGCUGUGAACGCGCGGGUAAUCGACGCCGACGAUAUACGGUCGUAUUGCUGCGACGGUAUAUGUUCGAGCGUCGACGCCGGUCAGCGACGAAUUUUCGGGCCUCUUUCCGACCCGUCUUGAAACACGGACCAAGGAGUCUAACGUGCGCGCGAGUCGCGGGGUACUCGAGUCGUUAGUUUUUUUUCGUUUUUUUUUAAAAGUGGAAAAAGACGACGCGAUUCGUUACACGAACGAAACCCGUUAUACGUACGUUGUGCGAAGGCGUAAUGAAAGUGAGGCGACGCGUUUCGGCGCGUCGCCGGGGAAGACGGUGCUAUUUCCGUGUACACGUUCCUCGGUCGCACCGUGUAACCGAGGCCGGACACCCGCAUUCCCAGGGCGUCCCGUCCGUCCGUCGAUGGCGCGGACGUGCGUUCGCGUACGUCGGCCGUCGACGAACUGGGGCGCACCUAUAGCGUGCACGUUGGUACCCGAAAGAUGGUGAACUAUGCCCGGCCAGGAUGAAGUCAGGGGAAACCCUGAUGGAGGUCCGCAGCGAUUCUGACGUGCAAA